CCUACGGGGGGCAGCAGUGGGGAAUAUUGGACAAUGGGGGGAACCCUGAUCCAGCCAUGCCGCGUGUGUGAAUAAGGCCCUCGGGUUGUAAAGCACUUUCAGUGAUGAAGAACGCCUGGUGGUUAAUACCCAUCAGGAAAGACAUCACUCACAGAAGAAGCACCGGCUAACUCCGUGCCAGCAGCCGCGGUAAUACGGAGGGUGCGAGCGUUAAUCGGAAUUACUGGGCGUAAAGCGCGCGUAGGUGGCUUGAUAAGCCGGUUGUGAAAGCCCCGGGCUCAACCUGGGAACGGCAUCCGGAACUGUCAAGCUAGAGUGCAGGAGAGGAAGGUAGAAUUCCCGGUGUAGCGGUGAAAUGCGUAGAGAUCGGGAGGAAUACCAGUGGCGAAGGCGGCCUUCUGGACUGACACUGACACUGAGGUGCGAAAGCGUGGGUAGCAAACAGGAUUAGAUACCCGAGUAGUC
RNAcentral lists this ribosomal RNA (465 nucleotides) under Vreelandella stevensii. Its description in RNAcentral is "partial 16S ribosomal RNA". It matches the Rfam family "Bacterial small subunit ribosomal RNA", at positions 338 to 795 of the family's 1533-position model. Lineage: Bacteria; Pseudomonadati; Pseudomonadota; Gammaproteobacteria; Oceanospirillales; Halomonadaceae. The record is from RNAcentral.